Molecule: transfer RNA, 77 nt
Filed under: Nitrospira sp.
Lineage: Bacteria; Pseudomonadati; Nitrospirota; Nitrospiria; Nitrospirales; Nitrospiraceae
Also listed under: 2 other names
Description: tRNA-Arg
Rfam family: tRNA
About the family: Transfer RNA (tRNA) molecules are approximately 80 nucleotides in length. Their secondary structure includes four short double-helical elements and three loops (D, anti-codon, and T loops). Further hydrogen bonds mediate the characteristic L-shaped molecular structure. tRNAs have two regions of fundamental functional importance: the anti-codon, which is responsible for specific mRNA codon recognition, and the 3' end, to which the tRNAs corresponding amino acid is attached (by aminoacyl-tRNA synthetases). tRNAs cope with the degeneracy of the genetic code in two manners: having more than one tRNA (with a specific anti-codon) for a particular amino acid; and 'wobble' base-pairing, i.e. permitting non-standard base-pairing at the 3rd anti-codon position.
Source: RNAcentral
GUCCCCGUAGCUCAUCUGGAUAGAGCGCUGGUUUCCUAAACCGGAGGCAAUCCGUUCAAGUCGGAUCGGGGACACCA